RNAcentral lists this long non-coding RNA (2542 nucleotides) under Capsicum annuum. RNAcentral's name for it is "long non-coding RNA (CANN_LNC004471)". The record is from RNAcentral. Lineage: Eukaryota; Viridiplantae; Streptophyta; Magnoliopsida; Solanales; Solanaceae.
AUUCAAACAUUAAAAUUAAGCAACCAAACUUCAUAUAUAUUCAUCCAACUUGAACAAUAUGCAAGUAUAAAAAGUAUGCAAAAUAGCAGCAAAACAAGUUCUUCCAAACACUCACUAACAGAAUCCAAAACUAAAAUAACAACACCACCUAAUACUCCAUUUCAUCCUCUCCAUCAUCCUCAUCCUCUUCAUCAAUUACCAAUUUCCUCUUAGUUGUUCCCAUGGAUACUGAGCCACACAUAUGCAACGAGCCACCCUUCUUGGACUUUCGAGCUAUCUUUAUCUUGGUGCUCUUCUUUUGAAACACUGGAGACUGCCAGUAUACAAUAAGUUGAUCUCAAUAAUAUGACCCAAGUCAUCUAGGCCGCCGUUCGUUACUUCGAGCUUUAGAAAGCAUGUAUGACAAUAGAGAAAAUGCCUUCUUAAAAUUACUUUGAAUAACCCGAUCCUUGAAAAGACUUCAUGUACUGCUUUUCUACAAAUAAAAUAUAUAGCUUUGAGGCAAGAAAAAAAUUUCAUUUCAACUGGCAUGAAUUUAUUUAUUUUUUAAUUAAAAAAAGCUGUUUUGAAGUAUUAAAUAUAAAAUUGUAACAAUUCUGAGAUUCUUCACUAUGCUAAUAACAUAUGAAAAUAGUACAAAUGAAACUUUUAACUUACAACAUUCAUGAUGUUGAGGCCAGAAAUCCAAGUGAUAACAGGCCACCAAAUCAAUAAAUAUUUCUCCAUGCAAGUCUACAGGUCACCUUGAACCCAUUUUCUCAAGGUGAAUAUUUUCACAAGUUCAUUGUCACUGUUGGUAGAUGCCACAAUAUUUAUCUGUUACUUUUUAAUUAAGUCAGACCGAAGAGUAGAAGUUGGUCUGAUGUCACUGUAAUUCAAUAAUAAAUAGAAGCAUGCACUGAUUAUAUAUUUAUCCUCAAACAAUGUAUAUAUAUUCUCCAUUAACCCUACUUUAUGGGAAUACACUAGGUAUAUUGUUGCUCUAGUUAAUGCGCCAUGCCUGAAGCACAACUAUUGCCAACUUGCAAUGGAGCAUUUCAUCCUAUCUCAAGAACAUAGAAGUUUCUUUAAUCUUCAGAACCCAUGAAAACAAUCUUCAAUUUAAUUAAAGUCUUAACAAUUAGCUCAAUGCAAAAAACAAGAAACUGCAACAGUUUCUUAGCAACAAACAUCAAAAGCAUCAUGAAGUAGAUAAGUAUCUUUAUUACCAUCUUAUCUCCAACUAACAAGCCUUAUGAACUCUUUCCUUGCUGACAAAGUAAAACAAGGCAUAGACAACUGUAACUUAGUAGUAUCUAAGAUGUAGAAGUUCUCCUCUAUUCUAUUUUAUGUGACGAUGUUUGAUUGGACCUAAAGUUGAAAAGAAAAAGGAUGACUUUGAAACUCGCCAUCUAAAUAAUUCAUAGAUAUUUGUGUGGCAAUAAAUGAUCUCGUUAAAGAUAAUAUGAAGAGUUUAAAAUUAAAUCAUCAGAGCAACAAAGCAACUAAAGUAGAGAUGUAUAGGAUGAUCCUAAGUGCUAUUAUAUACUUAAAUGGAAAGAAAGAAACCUUCAAGUUUUUUCAAAGCAAACAAAGGCCUCCUGAUGUAAUUAUUCGACUAAUGGUGCAGGAUGUGGCAUGUAUAUGUCAAUUAAAACCAAAACUAGCAGGGGGUCUACAAAAGCUUAACAAUUAUCCAUGAUGUUAGUUGUUGGUAGGUAAUUUUAGUGUUAGCAGGCUGUUAGCAGAAGGUUGGGACUCUAUCCAACCUCAGAUUAUCUUUUUUUGCUGUAAAAUUCUCUACUUGAUAAUGAAAUCAAUUUCUUUCCAAAAGAUUAAACUGUUUUAAAAUAUAGAAUGCAUUAUUCUCUUUGAAACAAACCAAGAUUGAAAAGCAUGCCACGUAAAAUGCGAUAGGGAGAGUAACACUGAGCUAACUGUAAGCUUCACAGUAACUAUACAUAUUGAUCUUUAAACUAAAACUUUUACACUCUCCACACAAUAAGAAGAAUGAAGAAUCAAACUAUACAUCUGGUUUGAGUAACUAUGUGUAAUCUUUAACGCCCCUUCACCUCAGAACCUAAGAAAAUAAUCUCCGAUUUGAUUUAAAGAUUUAACAACUAGCUAAAUGCAAGAAAGAAGAAUCUGUCAACAGUGUUUUUAAUUUCACUAAAUCAAGAAACUUCAAAAGCAUCACGACUUUACAGAAAACUAAAACAAUAGUAAUCUUCAAGCCAGAAGUAGAUAAGUAUUUGUAUUACCAUCUCAUCUCCAACUAACAAUCCUUAUUAACUCUUUCAUUACGACAAAGGAAAACAAGGCAGUGUCAAAGUUACUUUUCACAGUACACGCACAAUAAACCUCAAAAAUUAUAAGCAGCACAUGGUAACAUGAAAAAUGCUGAAAAUAUCUUUUUUAUUAACUGUGAGGUUUUGGAGCGUUUAAUUCAUUUUGUUAUCUGAAGUAUACAUACCAUAAAAUCAUUAAGGACUCCUUGUUGCAUACGAGAUGACACUUCACUCCAAAGAGAAUGUAAAAUGACCUCGGGAGCUUCACAGCAGGG